UAGGGAAUCUUCGGCAAUGGACGAAAGUCUGACCGAGCAACGCCGCGUGAGUGAAGAAGGUUUUCGGAUCGUAAAACUCUGUUGGUAGAGAAGAACGUUGGUGAGAGUGGAAAGCUCAUCAAGUGACGGUAACUACCCAGAAAGGGACGGCUAACUACGUGCCCCAG
This 167-nucleotide ribosomal RNA is filed under the name uncultured bacterium. RNAcentral's name for it is "partial 16S rRNA". It matches the Rfam family "Bacterial small subunit ribosomal RNA", at positions 355 to 514 of the family's 1533-position model. The record is from RNAcentral.